UGGGGAAUAUUGGGCAAUGGGCGCAAGCCUGACCCAGCAACGCCGCGUGAAGGAAGAAGGCUUUCGGGUUGUAAACUUCUUUUAAGAGGGACGAAACAAAUGACGGUACCUCUUGAAUAAGCCACGGCUAACUACGUGCCAGCAGCCGCGGUAAUACGUAGGUGGCAAGCGUUAUCCGGAUUUAUUGGGUGUAAAGGGCGUGUAGGCGGGAUAGCAAGUCAGAUGUGAAAACUAUGGGCUCAACCCAUAGCCUGCAUUUGAAACUGUUAUUCUUGAGUGCUGGAGAGGCAAUCGGAAUUCCGU
RNAcentral lists this ribosomal RNA (303 nucleotides) under uncultured bacterium. RNAcentral's name for it is "bacterial SSU rRNA". It matches the Rfam family "Bacterial small subunit ribosomal RNA", at positions 355 to 672 of the family's 1533-position model. The record is from RNAcentral.